CCUACGGGUGGCAGCAGUGGGGAAUAUUGCACAAUGGGCGAAAGCCUGAUGCAGCAACGCCGCGUGAACGAAGAAGGCUCUUGGGUCGUAAAGUUCUGUUCUGAGGGAAGAAGAAAGUGACGGUACCUCAGGAGAAAGCCCCGGCUAACUACGUGCCAGCAGCCGCGGUAAUACGUAGGGGGCAAGCGUUGUCCGGAAUUAUUGGGCGUAAAGGGAGCGUAGACGGCUGAGCAAGCCUGAAGUGAAAGGCGGGGGCCCAACCCCCGGACUGCUUGGGGAACUGUACGGCUGGAGUGCAGGAGAGGUAAGUGGAAUUCCUAGUGUAGCGGUGAAAUGCGUAGAUAUUAGGAGGAACACCAGUGGCGAAGGCGGCUUACUGGACUGUAACUGACGUUGAGGCUCGAAAGCGUGGGGAGCAAACAGGAUUAGAUACCCGAGUAGUC
Molecule: ribosomal RNA, 443 nt
Filed under: uncultured bacterium
Lineage: Bacteria
Description: partial 16S ribosomal RNA
Rfam family: Bacterial small subunit ribosomal RNA
Source: RNAcentral